GUGCUGCACAGCCACGGCUCAUCAGUACAAAAACCUCACCGUCUGCCGAACCAAGCAAUUUAUAAUUAGGCUUUCUGUGGUACAUCACUAUAUGGGUUGUGAUACAGAACAUUUGAGUAAAACAUUUACUUUGCUGCUCAGUUAACGUUUGACAGAUUUCCACCUGGAUCGACUCGUUUUGAUCAACCUCUCGUUCUUCUUUCUAAAAGGGGAGGAGCUUCUGUGAAGUGACACGUUAUUUAUCCUCCCAGAAAUAUUCAGCACAUCUCUGUUGGACCACAAAGCGACAGAUUCUAAACACUGAAUAUUUAAAAUUAAAACGAUGUUGCAAAUUCUUAUACUUCUACUCUCUUCAUUGAGAAUUCAAGUUCACUGCCAGGACGUCAUCCAGGAUCCCACCAUCAGUUGGAGGUUGAAGUCUGAAUCGACCGAGAUGAAAUGCAGCCACAAAAAAGACGUUUCUCAUACCCAGAUGUACUGGUACCGACAGCGACCAGGGGAGACCAUGACCCUCAUUGUGUACACGGCGUUCGGUGGGCAGCUCGACUACGGAGAGAACCUGCAGAGCAAAUACUCAGCAGUCAAAGACGCCAUAGAGACCGGAGCUCUGACUGUGAAGGACCUGCAGCCUGAUGACAGCGGCAUUUAUUUCUGUGCUGUCAGCAAACACAGUGAUGUGAGGAAAUACAACAGCUGAACAAAAACCGACUGCCAAUAAAACAGAGUUA
Poecilia latipinna (sailfin molly) is the source of this 728-nucleotide non-coding RNA. Lineage: Eukaryota; Metazoa; Chordata; Actinopteri; Cyprinodontiformes; Poeciliidae. The record is from the annotation of a RefSeq genome assembly.